CGUACACUCCUGCGGGAGGCAGCAGUGGGGAAUUUUGGACAAUGGGCGAAAGCCUGAUCCAGCCAUGCCGCGUGCAGGAUGAAGGCCUUCGGGUUGUAAACUGCUUUUGUACGGAACGAAACGGCCUUUUCUAAUAAAGAGGGCUAAUGACGGUACCGUAAGAAUAAGCACCGGCUAACUACGUGCCAGCAGCCGCGGUAAUACGUAGGGUGCAAGCGUUAAUCGGAAUUACUGGGCGUAAAGCGUGCGCAGGCGGUUAUGUAAGACAGUUGUGAAAUCCCCGGGCUCAACCUGGGAACUGCAUCUGUGACUGCAUAGCUAGAGUACGGUAGAGGGGGAUGGAAUUCCGCGUGUAGCAGUGAAAUGCGUAGAUAUGCGGAGGAACACCGAUGGCGAAGGCAAUCCCCUGGACCUGUACUGACGCUCAUGCACGAAAGCGUGGGGAGCAAACAGGAUUAGAUACCCCUGUAGUCCCAUGA
This 479-nucleotide ribosomal RNA is filed under the name uncultured organism. RNAcentral describes it as "partial 16S ribosomal RNA". It matches the Rfam family "Bacterial small subunit ribosomal RNA", at positions 330 to 800 of the family's 1533-position model. The record is from RNAcentral.